AACCCUUGUCCAUAGUUACCAGCACGUUAUGGUGGGCACUCUAAGGAGACUGCCGGUGACAAACCGGAGGAAAGGUGGGGAUGACGUCAAGUCAUCAUGGCCCUUACGGCCUGGGCUACACACGUGCUACAAUGGUCGGUACAAAGGGUUGCCAAGCCGCGAGGUGGAGCUAAUACCCAUAAAACCGAUCGUAGUCCGGAUCGCAGUCUGCAACUCGACUGCGUGAAGUCGGAAUCGCUAGUAAUCGUGAAUCAGAAUGUCACGGUGAAUACGUUCCCGGGCCUU
RNAcentral lists this ribosomal RNA (285 nucleotides) under uncultured Pseudomonas sp. Its description in RNAcentral is "partial 16S ribosomal RNA". It matches the Rfam family "Bacterial small subunit ribosomal RNA", at positions 1100 to 1382 of the family's 1533-position model. The record is from RNAcentral. Lineage: Bacteria; Pseudomonadati; Pseudomonadota; Gammaproteobacteria; Pseudomonadales; Pseudomonadaceae.